CCUACGGGUGGCAGCAGUAGGGAAUAUUGCUCAAUGGGGGAAACCCUGAAGCAGCCAAGUCGCGUGAGGGAAGACGGUCCUAUGGAUUGUAAACCUCUUUUGUUAGAGAAGAUAAUGACGGUAUCUAACGAAUCAGCACCGGCUAACUCCGUGCCAGCAGCCGCGGUAAUACGGAGGGUGCAAGCGUUACUCGGAAUCACUGGGCGUAAAGAGCGCGUAGGCGGGAUAGCAAGUCAGAUGUGAAAUCCUAUGGCUUAACCAUAGAACUGCAUUUGAAACUGUUAUUCUAGAGUAUGGGAGAGGUAGGUGGAAUUCUUGGUGUAGGGGUAAAAUCCGUAGAGAUCAAGAGGAAUACUCAUUGCGAAGGCGACCUGCUAGAACAUAACUGACGCUGAUGCGCGAAAGCGUGGGGAGCAAACAGGAUUAGAUACCCGGGUAGUC
RNAcentral lists this ribosomal RNA (441 nucleotides) under uncultured bacterium. Its description in RNAcentral is "partial 16S ribosomal RNA". It matches the Rfam family "Bacterial small subunit ribosomal RNA", at positions 338 to 795 of the family's 1533-position model. The record is from RNAcentral.